This 253-nucleotide ribosomal RNA is filed under the name uncultured bacterium. RNAcentral describes it as "partial 16S ribosomal RNA". It matches the Rfam family "Bacterial small subunit ribosomal RNA", at positions 524 to 776 of the family's 1533-position model. The record is from RNAcentral.
UACGUAGGCAGCGAGCGUUGUUCGGAGUUACUGGGCGUAAAGGGUGUGUAGGUGGCGCGCUAAGUCGGGUGUGAAAUUUCGGAGCUUAACUCCGAAACUGCAUUCGAUACUGGCGUGCUUGAGGACUGGAGAGGAGACUGGAAUUCAUGGUGUAGCAGUGAAAUGCGUAGAGAUCAUGAGGAAGACCAGUGGCGAAGGCGGGUCUCUGGACAGUUCCUGACACUGAGACACGAAGGCCAGGGGAGCAAACGGG